This 467-nucleotide ribosomal RNA is filed under the name uncultured bacterium. RNAcentral describes it as "bacterial SSU rRNA". It matches the Rfam family "Bacterial small subunit ribosomal RNA", at positions 329 to 794 of the family's 1533-position model. The record is from RNAcentral.
UGCCAGACUCCUACGGGAGGCAGCAGUGAGGAAUAUUGGUCAAUGGACGGAAGUCUGAACCAGCCAUGCCGCGUGCAGGAAGACGGCUCUAUGAGUUGUAAACUGCUUUUGUACAAGGGUAAACCUGAAUACGUGUAUUCAGCUGAAAGUACUGUACGAAUAAGGAUCGGCUAACUCCGUGCCAGCAGCCGCGGUAAUACGGAGGAUCCAAGCGUUGUCCGGAUUUAUUGGGUUUAAAGGGUGCGCAGGCGGAAUGUCAAGUCAGCGGUAAAAUUUCGGGGCUCAACCCCGUCGUGCCGUUGAAACUGGCGUUCUUGAGUGAGCGAGAAGUAUGCGGAAUGCGUGGUGUAGCGGUGAAAUGCAUAGAUAUCACGCAGAACUCCGAUUGCGAAGGCAGCAUACCGGCGCUCAACUGACGCUCAUGCACGAAAGCGUGGGUAUCGAACAGGAUUAGAUACCCUGGUACA